This 69-nucleotide transfer RNA is filed under the name Calanus hyperboreus. RNAcentral's name for it is "tRNA-Gln". The record is from RNAcentral. Lineage: Eukaryota; Metazoa; Arthropoda; Copepoda; Calanoida; Calanidae.
UAUAUGUUAUUGUAAGGAAGCAUGAAAAAUUUUGAGUUUUUAGGAUAUAGUUAAAACUAUGACGUAUAA